UCUUUUGUCUUUUCCUCUCUUCCUUUUUAUGUUUUAUUUUUUUUUUCCCUUUCUGUUUUGGGCUGGCCAUUAAUCAAAAUUUCACAUUCUUUCAAGAAUCGCAUCGCAUUGUAGUGAAGACAACUUCAUCGUCCGCUACUCUCUCUCCUAGCAUCCCUUUGCAGUUGUGCUCGUGGAAGAGUGAAAAAGCUUUUGUGAUGAAGUCGAGGCUGGCAGGGAAUGGAUAAAGAAAGGGAAAGGGGAUGAGAAUCACGUGCUAGGCAAUGACUGCUUCGGCGGAUGAUAGAGUACCGAACAUGUGUAAGAGGCAGCUCAUGCACCUGAUUCUGCUGGGCACUAUCUCACUUCCUACUGCUGGAAUGACAAGGAGAAUUUGUGUCUUUAUGGACUUCCAAAUGAGUCAUGGGAAAUUAAUCUACCUAUUAAGGAGGCGCCUCCUGAGCUUCCAGACCCAGCUUUAGGUAUAAAUCAUGCAAGGGAUGGGAUGCAAAAGAAGGAUUGGUUGUCACUAGUUGCCAACGCAAUUGUUAAACAAAUAUUUAUUUUAGAGCAAGUUACCCCUUUCCGUGCUGUUUCACCUAUAAUAGUGGAAUUGAGUGCCCAAUCCAUACUGAAAACAACUUGUAUUGUGAGAGUAAUCAUAUGUUAUCUUUUGUAUAUUUGAGCUUUGCUAGUUGACUGGAAACACACAUCAUAGAUGCUCAUUUACAUUCACUUCGCAAACAUUUUGAUUUUGGUUUCAAAGCAUAAACUACCUGUAUCACAUGAUGUAUG
Ziziphus jujuba (common jujube) is the source of this 774-nucleotide long non-coding RNA. RefSeq lists it as uncharacterized. Lineage: Eukaryota; Viridiplantae; Streptophyta; Magnoliopsida; Rosales; Rhamnaceae. The record is from RefSeq and is a predicted model, not a curated record. The transcript has 3 exons.